RNAcentral lists this ribosomal RNA (228 nucleotides) under uncultured bacterium. RNAcentral's name for it is "partial 16S ribosomal RNA". It matches the Rfam family "Bacterial small subunit ribosomal RNA", at positions 568 to 795 of the family's 1533-position model. The record is from RNAcentral.
UCCGUAGGCGGGCGAUUAAGUCAGAGGUGAAAUCCCACAGCUCAACUGUGGAACUGCCUUUGAUACUGGUUGUCUUGAGUUACAGUGAAGUAGAUAGAAUAUGUAGUGUAGCGGUGAAAUGCAUAGAUAUUACAUAGAAUACCGAUUGCGAAGGCAGUCUACUAACUGUUAACUGACGCUAAGGGACGAAAGCGUGGGGAGCGAACAGGAUUAGAUACCCUGGUAGUC